RNAcentral lists this ribosomal RNA (301 nucleotides) under uncultured bacterium. RNAcentral describes it as "partial 16S ribosomal RNA". It matches the Rfam family "Bacterial small subunit ribosomal RNA", at positions 509 to 808 of the family's 1533-position model. The record is from RNAcentral.
CAGUAGCCGCGGUAAUACGUAGGGUGCAAGCGUUAAUCGGAAUUACUGGGCGUAAAGCGUGCGCAGGCGGUUAUAUAAGACAGAUGUGAAAUCCCCGGGCUCAACCUGGGAACUGCAUUUGUGACUGUAUAGCUAGAGUACGGCAGAGGGGGAUGGAAUUCCGCGUGUAGCAGUGAAAUGCGUAGAUAUGCGGAGGAACACCGAUGGCGAAGGCAAUCCCCUGGGCCUGUACUGACGCUCAUGCACGAAAGCGUGGGGAGCAAACAGGAUUAGAUACCCCCGUAGUCCUGUCUCUUAUACC